GAAGUUUGAUCCUGGCUCAGGACGAACGCUGGCGGCGUGCUUAACACAUGCAAGUCGAGCGGUAAGGCCCUUCGGGGUACACGAGCGGCGAACGGGUGAGUAACACGUGGGUGAUCUGCCUCGCACUUCGGGAUAAGCCUGGGAAACUGGGUCUAAUACCGGAUAUGACCUUUCAGUGCAUGCUGUUGGGUGGAAAGAUUUAUCGGUGCGAGAUGGGCCCGCGGCCUAUCAGCUUGUUGGCGGGGUAACGGCCCACCAAGGCGACGACGGGUAGCCGACCUGAGAGGGUGACCGGCCACACUGGGACUGAGACACGGCCCAGACUCCUACGGGAGGCAGCAGUGGGGAAUAUUGCACAAUGGGCGGAAGCCUGAUGCAGCGACGCCGCGUGAGGGAUGACGGCCUUCGGGUUGUAAACCUCUUUCGACAGGGACGAAGCGCAAGUGACGGUACCUGUAGAAGAAGCACCGGCCAACUACGUGCCAGCAGCCGC
Molecule: ribosomal RNA, 493 nt
Filed under: Nocardia brasiliensis
Lineage: Bacteria; Bacillati; Actinomycetota; Actinomycetes; Mycobacteriales; Nocardiaceae
Description: bacterial SSU rRNA
Rfam family: Bacterial small subunit ribosomal RNA
Source: RNAcentral